This is a long non-coding RNA of Malaclemys terrapin pileata, 1441 nucleotides long. RefSeq lists it as uncharacterized. The record is from RefSeq and is a predicted model, not a curated record. The transcript is spliced from 2 exons. NCBI's taxonomy places the organism in Eukaryota, Metazoa, Chordata, Testudines, Emydidae.
UAGUGGGGGAAAGGGCACCAAUCUAGCCUCUUCCAAUACAACCGUCUACUACACCAAACAUCCAAAUGGCCAAGGUUUUCUGGGGAAAAAUAACCUGGUAAAAAGUAGAAUAGGAAAAGGUGGCAGAGUUCAGGUGUGGUGUGGGGUCUGUUUGAAUGGAAAGGCUAAUUAUCAUUCAGUAACUAUUAUUUUUAAUAUGGAAUUAUUGUGAACUGGGACACUGAUUCAUCAAUGUAUUUAAGCAUGUUCCUGAUUGGAGCACUAACAGCAGUGGGAUGGCUCACGUACUUUAAGUUAGUCACGUGCAUAAGUACUCUCUGGAAUUGGGGUUUUAAGGCUGAACAAUUACAGGGCUUUUCUCUUCUCCUUUUUUCGUUUUGAUUCAAUAGGUAUUUAAUUCAAAUCAUUAUUGCUAUAGGUUGCCCUUUUAUAUAAAAUAAUUAUUUAUUGAUCAGAAACAAAUGCCUAUGAUAAUUACAUAAAUAGGAACAAUAAAUAAAUGACUGACAUAAAGAUCCUGUUACAAAUGGCGUAAAAUGAUCUGAAACUAUUGUCACAGUGCACAGAUAGACUAAAUAGUAACAGCUUUUAAAAUUCCACCGCAUCUCAUUUUAAAUCCUGUAUAAAAUAUUACUUGAUUUUGAUUAGUACUUCUAAAAAUGUUGGUAUUUAAAUUUCUAAACUUCUUUGUGAGUUUGUCCUAGAUUUGAAACCCCCAUAAUUCCACAUGGAUUCUCCUGCUAGCACUGAGGCUGAACUGCUUGUCUCUGAUGAAAGAAAUUGGUCUCUCUUCCCUUUCACCCUGGGAAACUAUAGGUCCUUACCAUGGGCGUGCGCACGGGGUGGGCCCGGGCACACACCCUCAUGCCCAUGGGCCGGAUCCGGAUCUGGCCCCUCGGGGCUUUGCAUCCGGCCCGCGGGAUUUGCCCCCCGUGGUGCCGCAGGCCCCGCGCUGCUUUCCGAAGCAGCCAUCAGGGCAGCAGGUCUCUGGGGCUAAGGGGUUGCUCUAGGCACCGCCUCCCGAAGCUCCCAUUGGCCGGGAACGGGGAACUGCGGCCAAUGGGAGCUUCAGGGGAGGUACCUGGAGGCGUGGCAAGGGCAGCGUGCAGAGCCCUGUGCUGCCCCGCCCCUCCCCCGGGGCUGCGGGGAGCGGCCCGGCAUGGGGCCCUGGCAGGCGGGGAGCGCGCCGCUGCGGGAAACGUCUCAAGCUCCGCUAUAUGAUGAGGACAGAGUGAAUGUAUCGCAUAACACGUCAAGUGUUCUGGAGUGUUAGAAGUCACUGUGAGAAGAAUCGGCAGAGAGGAGGGAUUCCACUGCAUCCUUCUGUUUUAACCUCAGUAGUUGCAGCAGCCGGAGCUGAAAGGAAAUAGGGAAUGGUUGAAAUACAAAGGGAAAAAAUAUAAUUUUCAUUGAAUUGAUCUCAAUAAAUUAAAUGAAAAUA